Pangasianodon hypophthalmus (striped catfish) is the source of this 964-nucleotide long non-coding RNA. RefSeq lists it as uncharacterized. NCBI's taxonomy places the organism in Eukaryota, Metazoa, Chordata, Actinopteri, Siluriformes, Pangasiidae. The transcript has 3 exons. The record is from RefSeq and is a predicted model, not a curated record.
UUUAAGCUUAAGUGUCCCACUUCCCCCUAAAUCUUAGAAAAUGGUUCUUCAGGGGUUCUUUAAGGAUUCAUUGGAUAAUUAAGGGUUCUACUUGGAACCCUUUCAAGGCAGGGAACACUCUUUUGCCCCAGAGGGACAAAAUGAAGGGUUGCAGAUUUCCUAAGAGAAUAGUGUAUUUUGCAGCAAACUCUGCACACGGAGCCUCAUGCGGAGAUUUGACUCCCGCUGUCGUUACGCACCCAUCACUCGAGCCUAACGUAAUAAGCGUUAUAGGCACGCGCUCUGGUAUGACGUACGUCUUCUAAGAGCGCUUCCGGAUCAGCUGCCCCCCGCCGCGCCACCGUCAACCAGUGAACUCCACCGCGCUUGAUUUGAUACGUCUAUGAAAGGAGAUACCGCUACCUUGGGACGGGACGGGGGGAGUUGUCGAACAAAAUAAUCUAAAAAAGAAGAAGAAGAAGAAGAAGAAGAAGAAGAACCAAACUGUCAAACAUAGAUUCCUCUGAAAAGGGAAGCACCCAAGACUGAAUAUAGACAAAUAUUUUACUUUUCAAUGUUUCGUGUAUUAAUGAGAUUCAGCAAAAAAAUUGUGAUUUUUACUUUAUAUGAGAUUUCUUAAAUUAUCAUGUCACAAAAUAAAGUUUAAUUUUGGUAAGAACAAAUGUUACUUCAUCAUGCAUUACAUGAUUUACAAGUUGGUAAACAUUAGAGCUAAAAUAACAAUGUCUGCAUAUGUGACUAAUACACAUGAAUUUUGUCCUCAAUCCUACAUCGUCAUUGUUUCCUUUAAAGACGAGGACUCCUUAGGAAAAGCUUCAUCGAAACUGGACAGAUCUACAGUGAGGUCAUUCCUGAGAAAGUGGGGUUGUUGUCAUACAAAACCCCUCAUUCAGUAAAGACGGAUGCCACAUCAUGUGAAGUAUUUGUGCUAAAAGUUUUUAUUGUUUGUAAUAUUGGUCCGUAA